RNAcentral lists this ribosomal RNA (478 nucleotides) under uncultured bacterium. Its description in RNAcentral is "partial 16S ribosomal RNA". It matches the Rfam family "Bacterial small subunit ribosomal RNA", at positions 28 to 507 of the family's 1533-position model. The record is from RNAcentral.
GAUGAACGCUGGCGGCGUGCUUAACACAUGCAAGUCGAACGGGAAUUAUUUUAUUGACACUUCGGUCGAUUUAAUUUAAUUCUAGUGGCGGACGGGUGAGUAACGCGUGGGUAACCUGCCUUAUACAGGGGGAUAACAGUCAGAAAUGGCUGCUAAUACCGCAUAAGCGCACAGAGCUGCAUGGCUCAGUGUGAAAAACUCCGGUGGUAUAAGAUGGACCCGCGUUGGAUUAGCUUGUUGGCAGGGUAACGGCCUACCAAGGCGACGAUCCAUAGCCGGCCUGAGAGGGUGAACGGCCACAUUGGGACUGAGACACGGCCCAGACUCCUACGGGAGGCAGCAGUGGGGAAUAUUGCACAAUGGGGGAAACCCUGAUGCAGCGACGCCGCGUGAAGGAAGAAGUAUCUCGGUAUGUAAACUUCUAUCAGCAGGGAAGAUAGUGACGGUACCUGACUAAGAAGCCCCGGCUAACUACGUG